UGCUGCUAAAAUGCUAUAUAAUCAUGGGGUUGAGCACAGCUAAUUUUCAUAAAAUAUAAUAAUCAUAACACUAAUCACAGACCAGAUAUAUAAUCACUGGCAACAUUAUGCAAAUAAGGUUUACAUGUUCGGUUGAGUUCUUUAAAAACCUGCAGCUCCCAGAUAAAGCAGAGGAAUCAGAUGUGCUACAUCCAACUGGCAGACUCAUAACUCACACUGUCAAUAUGAAGUUGUUUCUUGUAAUGUUAAUGACACUUUUAUCAGGAGUUCACUGUGAUGUACAACUUGCCCAGUCAGAGUCAGUGGUGAUAAAGCCGGGAGGGUCUCACAAACUGUCCUGCACAGCGUCUGGCUUCACAUUCAGUAGCUACUGGAUGAGCUGGGUUAGACAGGCUCCUGGGAAAGGAUUACAGUGGGUGUCUAGUAUUACAGGUGAUGGGGGUAGCACAUACUAUGCUGAUUCAAUUAAAGGAAGAUUCACCAUCUCCAGAGACAAUAAUAACAACAAGUUAUAUCUGCAAAUGAACAAUCUACAAACUGAAGACACUGCCGUGUAUUACUGUGCUAGAGACACAGUGACAAAUAAUCACAGAGCAGUGCAGCAAAAACACUAAUCCUGUCCUUCCAUG
Non-coding RNA from Xenopus laevis (African clawed frog), 629 nucleotides. NCBI's taxonomy places the organism in Eukaryota, Metazoa, Chordata, Amphibia, Anura, Pipidae. The record is from the annotation of a RefSeq genome assembly.